AUGAAGUGGUUUCUGACUUUGCUAUGUGCAACUAGAUUUCUGAAAAUAUGUUUAAGCAGAUACACUGAUAAAAUUGAUGAAUUAGGGGGGAAGAAAAGGAUUACAGUUAUGUUGGAAGGAAGGAGGGUGAGUGAUAGGGCCAUGUAUGCUGUAACAUGGCGAAAUGAUGCUAGUGAUUUGAGGCAGCAGCUCAAAAAGUGA
Vicia faba (fava bean) is the source of this 201-nucleotide non-coding RNA. The record is from the annotation of a GenBank genome assembly. NCBI's taxonomy places the organism in Eukaryota, Viridiplantae, Streptophyta, Magnoliopsida, Fabales, Fabaceae.